This 570-nucleotide ribosomal RNA is filed under the name Eupasiphae gilesii. RNAcentral's name for it is "partial 12S ribosomal RNA". The record is from RNAcentral. Lineage: Eukaryota; Metazoa; Arthropoda; Malacostraca; Decapoda; Pasiphaeidae.
UACUAAUAGGGUAAAUGAAAUGAAUAAGUGGAAUAUAAUAUUUAUUUUUAUUUUAUAAAGUUUGUUUAAAAAUAGAAGGUGGAAUAUGGAGUUUUAAAAAUUAACUUUAAAUUUUAAAUAAAUUAUAAUUUAUAAAAUAUUAGUUAUAAAAUAGGAUUAGAUACCCUAUUAUUCUAAUAAUAAAUUUAAAAUACUUGAGUAGUAAAUAGUUAUGAUCUUGAAACUUAAAGAAUUUGGCGGUAUUUUAUUCCAAUUAAAGGAACCUGUUCUAUAAACGAUAAAACACGAAAAAUUUUUCUUUUUUUUGUAAAUACAGUUUGUAUAUCAUCAUUAUUAGAUGAUUUAUAUAAAUAUAUAUCAAGAUAAAAAUUAUUAUUUAAAAUAUUAGAUCAAGGUGCAGCUUAUAGAGAAGUAAGAAAUGGGUUACAAUAAAUUAAAUUUAGGACGGAUAUAAAGGUUGAAUAAUUAUUAUUGAAGGUGGAUUUAAGAGUAAUUAUAUUUUAAUAUGGUAUAUUGAUUAUGGCUCUAAAAUAUGUACAUAUCGCCCGUCACUCUCGCUUAUUUAAAUGU